RNAcentral lists this ribosomal RNA (466 nucleotides) under uncultured bacterium. RNAcentral describes it as "partial 16S ribosomal RNA". It matches the Rfam family "Bacterial small subunit ribosomal RNA", at positions 28 to 507 of the family's 1533-position model. The record is from RNAcentral.
GACGAACGCUGGCGGCGUGCUUAACACAUGCAAGUCGAACGGAAAGGCCCUGCUUGCAGGGUACUCGAGUGGCGAACGGGUGAGUAACACGUGGGUGAUCUGCCCUGCACUUCGGGAUAAGCUUGGGAAACUGGGUCUAAUACCGGAUAGGAGCCAUCUUUAGUGUGGUGGUUGGAAAGUUUUUUCGGUGUAGGAUGAGCUCGCGGCCUAUCAGCUUGUUGGUGGGGUAAUGGCCUACCAAGGCGGCGACGGGUAGCCGGCCUGAGAGGGUGUACGGCCACAUUGGGACUGAGAUACGGCCCAGACUCCUACGGGAGGCAGCAGUGGGGAAUAUUGCGCAAUGGGCGCAAGCCUGAUGCAGCGACGCCGCGUGGGGGAUGAAGGCCUUCGGGUUGUAAACUCCUUUCGCUAGGGACGAAGCUUUGUUGUGACGGUACCUAGAUAAGAAGCACCGGCUAACUACGUG